Molecule: ribosomal RNA, 650 nt
Filed under: uncultured delta proteobacterium
Lineage: Bacteria; Deltaproteobacteria
Description: bacterial SSU rRNA
Rfam family: Bacterial small subunit ribosomal RNA
Source: RNAcentral
GCUGGGGUAAGUAAAGUGGCGCACGGGCUGAGUAACGGCGAUGGGUAACUCCUACCCCUGGAUUUGGGAUAACGUUGCGAAAGCGACGCUAAUACCGGAUGAGGUUUGAUUGACUUAGGUUGAUCGAAUGAAAGGUGGCCUCUCCAUGGAAGCUACUGUUUGGGGAUGAGCCCGCGUACCAUUAGCUAGUUGGUAGGGUAAAGGCCUACCAAGGUGACGAUGGUUAGCUGGUCUGAGAGGAUGAUCAGCCACACUGGAACUGAAACACGGUCCAGACUCCUACGGGAGGCAGCAGUGAGGAAUUUUGCGCAAUGGGGGUAACCCUGACGCANCAACGCCGUGUGAGUGAGGAAGGNCUUCGGGUCGUANAGCUCUGUCGAGUGGGAAGAACCUUUAUCAUGCCAAUAGUGUGAUAAACUGACGGUACCACUGAAGGAAGCACCGGCUAACUCCGUGCCAGCNGCCGCGGUANUACGGAGGGUGCAAGCGUUAUUCGGAAUUAUUGGGCGUAAAGGGCGCGCAGGCGGUUUUGCAAGUCANAUGUGAAAUCCCANNNCUCAACCGUGGAACUGCAUUUGAAACUGUGAGACUUGAGUAUGGGAGAGGGAAGUGGAAUUCCUGGUGUAGCGGUGAAAAUGCGUANAUAUCAG